Molecule: ribosomal RNA, 254 nt
Filed under: uncultured bacterium
Lineage: Bacteria
Description: partial 16S ribosomal RNA
Rfam family: Bacterial small subunit ribosomal RNA
Source: RNAcentral
UACGGAGGGUGCGAGCGUUGUCCGGAAUCACUGGGCGUAAAGGGCGCGUAGGCGGCUCGGUAAGCGGGCGGUGAAAGCCCGGGGCUCAACCCCGGGUCGGCCGUGCGGACUGCCGUGGCUUGAGCACUGUAGAGGCAGGUAGAAUUCCGGGUGUAGCGGUGGAAUGCGUAGAGAUCCGGAAGAAUACCGGUGGCGAAGGCGGCCUGCUGGGCAGUAGCUGACGCUGAGGCGCGACAGCGUGGGGAGCAAACAGG